ACUCCUACGGGAGGCAGCAGUGGGGAAUAUUGCACAAUGGGCGAAAGCCUGAUGCAGCAACGCCGCGUGAACGAUGAAGGUCUUCGGAUCGUAAAGUUCUGUCGCAGGGGAAGAUAAUGACGGCACCCUGUGAGGAAGCACCGGCUAACUACGUGCCAGCAGCCGCGGUAAU
Molecule: ribosomal RNA, 172 nt
Filed under: uncultured bacterium
Lineage: Bacteria
Description: partial 16S ribosomal RNA
Rfam family: Bacterial small subunit ribosomal RNA
Source: RNAcentral